This is a long non-coding RNA of Setaria italica (foxtail millet), 1814 nucleotides long. RefSeq lists it as uncharacterized. The transcript is spliced from 4 exons. The record is from RefSeq and is a predicted model, not a curated record. Lineage: Eukaryota; Viridiplantae; Streptophyta; Magnoliopsida; Poales; Poaceae.
UUUCGCCAUCUCGUCAUUUGGUAGGGCUCAAGCUUCGGCCAGUAGAGAAGCCGAAGCUGAAGCCCUCCCAAACGGGGCCUUAGUUACCUGCCAUCCCAUCGGGUGCUGGACACAACACACCACCCUCACGUUUUCUCUUGGGACUGUUCCUCACCCGGCCUGACGUCAAGCACUCAUCACACUGUGUGAUUGGCGUCCCCUUCAGCCACAUGGUGGGGGUAGGGGAGUUUCUUGCCUCGGCCGCAUUGAAGAAGGUCGGCGGCAUGCUAGGUAGUGCCAUCUGGGAGGCGAUCGCCUCGCAGCUGAAGCUAGGUGAUGAGCUCAAAGGCCUCAAGGAUACUGUGGAUACCAUCCAAAAUAGCAUGGUUAGGGCGGAGAAGCGGCUGAUGAAAGAUGGUGACGUCUGCGUCUGGAUGAGGAAGCUAAAGGCAGCAGCCUAUGACAUGGAGGACAUUAUUAUUGGAAUUGGAAGGUGAUAUCCUGAGUAAUAAAGAUGGCUCUCAGAAUAACAAAUCUACAACGGAGAUCUCCAUUCCUCUGAAGUUGCGGCUAAACAUGCCUAGCAAGUUGAAGGCCAUGAAGCAAAGAUUGGACGACAUAGAAAAGCUGAGGCAGUUCGACUUGAUGGUGGACACAAGCUCUGACGACCAGGACGUGAUCCAGACAAGGGCUACAGGCCCUUGCCUUGUAGAAGGUAUACUUGGGAGGGACAAGGACAAGGUAGAGUUGAUGAAGUUGCUGCAAGAAGAUUGCAAACACAUCAUCAUCCCUAUAUAUGGCUUUGGUGGUCUGGGUAAAACCACCUCUCGCCCAAAUGGUUUUUGACGACAAUACAACUAAGAGAGAUUUUGAUAUCCAGAUUUGGGUUUAUGUCUCCACAAGUUUUAGCGAUGAAAAGAUUGGUCGAUCAAUUAUCUCCCAAGUAGAUGGACAGAGUAACCAGUAUGACCUGUCCUCCGUGCAGAUGCGCGUGGAGAUGAUCCUCCGUGGAAAGAAGUAUCUUAUUGUUUUAGAUGACUUAUGGGAAGAAAACACAGGACAAUUGGAAAAGAUAGAAGCGAUGUUGAAAGGUGGCGCACCAGGCAGAAAGAUAAUUGUGACCACUCGAAGUGAACAGGUUGCUAAGCGGCUGAAUCGUGAGUUGCCAUUCAAGUUGGGUGCCUUGCCGUACGAUGACUGCUGGAAGCUGUUCAAAGCUAAGGCAUUUCCAAAUGGAAUUAAAGAAUCUGAAAUGGCAAAGGUACAUAUGGGGGAGAAAAUAGUAAAGAAAUGCGGUGGAGUGCCUUUGGCAGUCAAGUCUCUUGGGGAUCGUCUGCUAGAUAUGCCGAUGCACAAGUAGGAAGAAACACUGAAGAGUGACCUGUGGGAAGACGAAUGCGAUCCAACGACUGGAACAACAUCUACUUUAAUAUUACCAUCCUUGAAGAUUAGUUACUACCACAUGCCAUAUUAUCUGAGACCUUGCUUUGUAUACUUUUCUGCCUUCCCAAAAGGCUUCAUCAUAGAGAAGAGAGAACUGAUUCAUAAGUGGAUUGCUCUGAGAUUUGUUCUGACCACACAUCGUGCUGAGGAAUACCUACUAGAACUUUGUCAGAUGUCAUUCCUGGAGGCUUCAAGUGACUCUAUCUCGAUAGAAGAAACGUCAACUUGGUUGUCUUGACACAAUUGCUACUGGAGAGAAAAUAAUGUUCAUUCGUUGCAAUUUUAAACCCUUUGCACUCCCUUUGACUGCUCUAGCAUCUCCAUGCGGGACGGCUGAUGUGGCAAUGAUCAAUCUCGUUUCUAAAUGUGAAAUUGGCAUGCUCUUUAUAUAU